UGUCCCAUAACCUCUAUAUAAGGAGGUGAAGAAUACAUGUAUCAAGUCAUUCUACACAUAGAUCUCCAUUAGAACUAUUCUCCAUGGCAAACCGAAGCAAUGGUUCCAGGGCUGCCAUUGCGUUACUUCUUGGACUCCUCAUAGCAAUCCCAACAAGGGUGACAUCCAUUGGCGUGUGUUAUGGAAUGCAAGGAAACAAUCUGCCUCAACCAAGUACUGUAGUGAAUCUGUACAAGUCUAAUAAUAUCAAGGCAAUGAGGCUUUACGAUCCAAACCAAGCUGCUCUCCAGGCCCUCAAGGGUUCCAACAUCCAGCUCAUCCUAGAUGUCCCAAACAGUUCUCUACAAUCAUUAGCUUCUAGCGCUUCAGCAGCCAGUAAUUGGGUCCAGACAAAUGUGAAGGCCUAUUCUUCUGGUGUUUCAUUUAAAUACAUUGCAGUUGGCAAUGAAGUGAUUCCUGGAAGUCUAGCCCAGUAUGUGCUCCCUGCCAUGAGAAACAUCUAUUCAGCUCUUUCCUCAGCCGGUCUGCAAAACCAAAUCAAAGUCUCAACUUCAGUCGCCACUUCAGUCCUCGGCGGGAACUCAUCUCCUCCCUCAUCUGGGUUUUUCGCUUCUGAUGCACUGACAUACUUGAGCCCAAUAGUUAAAUUUUUGGCCAGCAAUGGAGCCCCACUCCUGGUAAAUGUAUACCCCUACUUCAGUUAUGUGAAUAACCCGACCCAGAUCAAGCUUGACUAUGCUUUGUUUACUUCCCCGGGGACCGUCGUGACAGAUGGACAAUAUAAAUAUCAGAACCUCUUUGAUGCCAUAGUUGAUGCAGUUUAUGCAGCAUUGGAGAAGGCAGGAGGGUCUAGUGUGGGUGAUCGUGGUAUCGGAGAGCGGUUGGCCAUCAGCUGGUGGUACUGCAGCAACCAUCAGCAAUGCAAAAACAUAUAAUCAGAAUUUGAUCAAUCAUGUUGGUCAAGGGACUCCAAGGAGAUCUGGAAAGGCUUUAGAGACCUACAUAUUUGAGAUGUUCAAUGAGAAUGAGAAAUCAGCAGGCGUAGAACAAAACUUUGGACUGUUUUACCCAAAUACGAAUCCAGUCUACUCAAUCAACUUCACUUGAAAUGCCAAAGGCCAUGAAUAAAUAGUAAUAUCUAGAAUAAACCAUUGGAAACAAUGGAGUGUGGUUUUCCAUGACUAUGAAUUGGGAGAAUACAUGUUGUAAUAAAGUUCAUCUUUCCUGGAAGGUUUCACAUGAAUAAAUUUAUCCUCAUAUGACAUUAUUUGAAA
This is a non-coding RNA of Phoenix dactylifera (date palm), 1274 nucleotides long. The record is from RefSeq and is a predicted model, not a curated record. Lineage: Eukaryota; Viridiplantae; Streptophyta; Magnoliopsida; Arecales; Arecaceae.